GACGAACGCUGGCGGCGUGCUUAACACAUGCAAGUCGAACGCUGAAGCUUGGUGCUUGCACUGGGUGGAUGAGUGGCGAACGGGUGAGUAAUAAGUGAGUAACCUGCCCUUGACUCUGGGAUAAGCCUGGGAAACUGGGUCUAAUACUGGAUACGACAUGUCACCGCAUGGUGGUGUGUGGAAAGGGUUUUACUGGUUUUGGAUGGGCUCACGGCCUAUCAGCUUGUUGGUGGGGUAAUGGCUCACCAAGGCGACGACGGGUAGCCGGCCUGAGAGGGUGAACGGCCAAAAUGGGACUGAGACACGGCCCAGGAUCCGAAGGGAGGCAGCAGUGGGGGAUUAUGCACCAAUGGCGGAAGCCUUGAGCAGCGACGGCGCCUUGGGGAAGACGGCCUUUCGGUUGUAAACCUCUUUCAGCACGGAAGAAGCGAAAGUGACGGUACGUGCAGAAGAAGCGCCGGCUAACUACGUG
This 472-nucleotide ribosomal RNA is filed under the name uncultured bacterium. Its description in RNAcentral is "partial 16S ribosomal RNA". It matches the Rfam family "Bacterial small subunit ribosomal RNA", at positions 28 to 507 of the family's 1533-position model. The record is from RNAcentral.